GAUUAACGCUGGCGGCGUGCCUAAUACAUGCAAGUCGAACGCGCCUUCGGGCGAGUGGCGGACGGCUGAGUAACACGUUGGUACCUGCCCUUCACUCGAGGAUAAGCCCUGGAAACGGGGUCUAAUACUCGAUAUCCUCUUCGGAGGAAAGCUUUCGCGGUGAAGGAGGGGCCUGCGCGAGAUUAGCUAGUUGGUGGGGUAAUGGCUCACCAAGGCGACGAUCUCUAGAUGGUCUGAGAGGAUGAUCAUCCAGACUGGGACUGAGACACGGCCCAGACUCCUACGGGAGGCAGCAGUAAGGAAUCUUCCGCAAUGGGGGCAACCCUGACGGAGCAACGCCGCGUGGAGGAAGACGGCCUUCGGGUUGUAAACUCCUUUUGCACGGGACGAACAUUGACGGUACCGUGCGAAUAAGAGGUGGCUAACUAUGUGCCAGCAGCCGCGGUAAUACAUAGACCUCAAGCGUUAUCCGGAUUUACUGGGCGUAAAGCGUACGUAGGCGUCCUUUUAAGUCUCUGGUGAAAUCCCUCGGCCUAACCGAGGAACUGUCAGAGAAACUGGAAGGAUUGAGUAUGGCAGAGGCAGACGGAAUUCGAGGUGUAGCGGUAAAAUGCGUAGAUAUCUCGAAGAACACCAGUGGCGAAGGCGGUCUGCUGGGUCAUCACUGACGCUGAGGUACGAAAGCGUGGGGAGCGAACGGGAUUAGAUACCCCGGUAGUCCACGCCGUAAACGAUGGGUGCUAGGCAUAUGGGGAUUAGACCCCCUGUGUGUCGAAGCUAACGCGUUAAGCACCCCGCCUGGGGAGUACGAGCGCAAGCUUAAAACUCAAAGGAAUUGACGGGGACCCGCACAAGCGGUGGAGCGUGUGGUUUAAUGCGACGCUAAGCGAAGAACCCUACCCAGGCUUGACAUCCCGGGAAUCCCCUGGAAACAGGGGAGUGCCGCAAGGAGCCCGGUGACAGGUGCUGCAUGGCCGUCGUCAGCUCGUGUCGUGAGAUGUUGGGUUAAGUCCCGCAACGAGCGCAACCCUUGUCGUAUGUUACAUGUGUCAUACGAGACUGCCUCGGUCAACGAGGAGGAAGGUGAGGAUGACGUCAGGUCCGCAUGGCCCUUAUGCCUGGGGUAACACACGCGCUACAAUGGCCGGUACAAUGGGUCGCGAAAUCGUAAGAUGGAGCUAAUCCCAUCAAAGCCGGUCCCAGUUCGGAUUGAGGGCUGCAACUCGCCCUCAUGAAGCCGGAAUCGCUAGUAAACGCGGAUCAGCUACGCCGCGUUGAAUACGUUCUCGGGUCUUGUACACACCGCCCGUCACACCACGAAAGUCGGUAAUGCCCAAAGCGCUUUUAGCCAACCGCAAGGAGGCGGAGCACUACGGCAGGAUCGAUGAUUGGGGUG
RNAcentral lists this ribosomal RNA (1396 nucleotides) under uncultured bacterium. Its description in RNAcentral is "bacterial SSU rRNA". It matches the Rfam family "Bacterial small subunit ribosomal RNA". The record is from RNAcentral.